CGGUCCAGACUCCUACGGGAGGCAGCAGUGGGGAAUAUUGCACAAUGGGCGCAAGCCUGAUGCAGCCAUGCCGGGUGUAUGAAGAAGGCCUUCGGGUUGUAAAGUACUUUCAGCGAGGAGGAAGGUGUUGUGGUUAAUAACCUCAACGAUUGACGUUACUCGCAGAAGAAGCACCGGCUACCUUCAUCCAGCAGCCGCGGUAA
RNAcentral lists this ribosomal RNA (203 nucleotides) under uncultured bacterium. Its description in RNAcentral is "partial 16S ribosomal RNA". It matches the Rfam family "Bacterial small subunit ribosomal RNA", at positions 327 to 523 of the family's 1533-position model. The record is from RNAcentral.